UAUUAGAUUGGUGAUUUUUCAUUCUGAGGCAGAGCAAGAUUCAUUCAUUUUCUCGCAAAAUUUGUUUUUUCUAGUUCUUUAUAAUGUGCAAUUACCUCAUUUUCUUCUUCUUCUUGUUCUUUCUCUCUUGUUGCUCCAUUUUCUUGGCUUGCUUGAUAUUUUUUUCCUCUGCAUGUUUUUAUCCGUAUAGAAAUUUUCUGUUUGACUUCAUCUUUUAUAUCACCAUGAUUCAUUAUAUAACACAUCUUUACGACUUGUACCUAAUUCUUUCAAUUUGGUUUGUUCGAUCCCUCAUAAUUCUAUGACGUGAUUGUCAGAAAAAAAACCUCUGUGAAUUAAUUAAUUUAGUUAUUUCCCUACACUUAUUAACAUUUUUCUUACCUUCACUGUAAUGUAGAUUUUUUUAUGUUUACUCCAGAAGUUCCUACUUCUACGGAAAGCCGUCGACCAGGAAAAUCAAUUCUAGAAGAUCCAGUGUACACAAAAGAUAUCAUGAAUGAUUCGGGAAAUUCUCCUGAUUCAGGCGAGUCACAGAGCAGUGACAGUGGCGCCAAAGAGUCCCUCCUGAAAGAUUCGUCCUUAUCAUCUAGCAGCAGCCAAGAAACUUUGACUUCAUCUUCAUACUUACCAUGUUCGAUUGAGACAACGGGAAGAAGAUUUGCCUGAAGAAGAAGAAGGCCAUUACAAGAGACCCCUAAACCCUUAAACCGGAAGAAUUGAUAGCCAAACUCGUCCAAUAAUUCCAUCUGGGAGUGCAAGCCAGCACGUAAAAAGAACAGACACAGUAGUUGUUGGGAAAAAAUUCAACCUUCUUCAAUGCUACUGAUCGUAGAAGAAGCCGAAACUGAUGAAAAAGCUGUGGGGGAUUCGCAGGUUACACCUAACACACCAAAAGUAUCAAGUAACAGACCUCGUGUUGAUGAAGAGGUGCAAUCAUUAAAGUUGCAAGAAAACAAUCAAUCAAGAACUACAUCAGCAGCAUCCGAACUAUUGAAUCAGAACUAAUACUACAGAAUGAUAGCUGCAACAUAUAAAAACAGUCAAAAAACGCUGAGACGUCAAGAGGAUAUGGCAAUCAAACUUAAUGCCCUUACUGAAUUCGUUUCGAAGCUAAGGUUUGACGUAGAUGAAUCGAGCGACAAAAAACAAAGUUUCAUUGCCGUGGAUAACCUAAUCGAAAAGUUCCCUAUGAACGAUUUAGCCGACUUAGAAAAUUUUGAAAGAAGGUUUAAAAGAACUUACUUUUUACUUUUUACUACUUACUUUUUUGUUGUUAAAAAUAUUUCAAAAAAAAUUGUUUUUUUUUUCAGUAUGCUGAUUGGAGGUUUAAACGAAGAUAAACUUCUAAGUAAUAUUUUAAAUUAUUGCUUGACUAUUUCAAUUGCUAGGAAGUUCUGUUGGACUGGAAGGGAGAAAAAGUUCAAUAAGGUUGGUCUUCGCCGAUUUAACGAUACAGAGCUCUUUGUUCUUGUAAAGAGGGUCGUCAGAAAACGCUUUGAAAAAAAUUUUAUGUCGGAAAAAUAUAAUGUCAGCAUUAAAUUUUUGUCAAAUCCCCUUACGUCCAAUAUCAGCAGCAGUGUUUCCAAAUCCAAUUUCUCUCUUGUUACCUUUGGAUGCACUGCCACCCUUAUUUUCGAUUUCACUAGAUGAACCCGUAACUCCCUUUAUUCCUAUUUUUCAAAAUCCAUUUUCAAAUUUUUAAACAUACUAAUGUAUUUCAUUCCAAAUAUUGAAAUGCUAAAAUAUGCUUUUAUAGUAACCCAAGUUUGCCUUAUCACAAUAAGGUCCGGUGUCUCCAACUCCAAUUUCACCCUUGAUACCCAUAUCCCCCUUAUAUCUCCCUUAGGUCCAAUAUCACCAGUGUUUUCAACUCCGAUAUCUCCCUUAUCCUAUUUGGGCCAACUAUCACCCUUUACUCCGCAGUCACCAGUUAAACCUGUAUCUUCCUUUGACCCUAGUAAAUGAUCAAAAUAACGCGUAAAAUUUAAGAAGUGGACUAAUAAAUAAGAAAAUACUAUUUAUAAUAACCCAAUUCACCCUUAGGUCCAGCGUCUCGAAAUCUCAUUUAGGUCCAAUAUCACAGGUGUUUCAUGUAAAAGUGUAUUGUUUAAGGUAUUUUUUUUAGUUGAAAGGUUUGUUUUUAAAUUUUAAAUUUAGGCUUGUUUAGAAAUGUCGUGGGUGGCUGUCGUUUGUCAUUUGUUUCAUCGCAAGCCUUUGCAACUACAGUGCCGACUUUAGUUGAAAAAAAUUUGAUUUUUUUCUAAAAAUAAAAUAAAUUCGUGAGCUUUUUAAAGGAACUAAUAAGAAAUCGAUUGACGUUUUUAAAAAAUGCAAUCGGGUGAAAAAUAGAUUAUAAGAAUUCGAGAAAAUAAAAAUUAAAAAAUUUUCUGACUUCACUGAAAAUAAAAAAAAUGCGUUUUUUAAUUCGCAAUAACUCCUUAACUAAUUAAAUAAAAAAUACAAAAUUAGACAAUACAUCUUUGUUUUUUUUUCA
Long non-coding RNA from Daphnia pulex (common water flea), 2494 nucleotides. RefSeq lists it as uncharacterized. Lineage: Eukaryota; Metazoa; Arthropoda; Branchiopoda; Diplostraca; Daphniidae. The transcript has 4 exons. The record is from RefSeq and is a predicted model, not a curated record.